Molecule: transfer RNA, 66 nt
Filed under: Staphylinidae sp. BMNH 1274241
Lineage: Eukaryota; Metazoa; Arthropoda; Insecta; Coleoptera; Staphylinidae
Description: tRNA-Ala
Source: RNAcentral
UGGACUAUAGUUAACAAUAACAUUUAAUUUGCAUUUAAAAAGUAUCUUAAUAUAAGAUUAGUCUUA